RNAcentral lists this ribosomal RNA (274 nucleotides) under uncultured bacterium. RNAcentral's name for it is "partial 16S ribosomal RNA". It matches the Rfam family "Bacterial small subunit ribosomal RNA", at positions 523 to 796 of the family's 1533-position model. The record is from RNAcentral.
AUACGGAGGGUGCGAGCGUUAAUCGGAAUUACUGGGCGUAAAGCGUACGUAGGCGGUUGGUUAAGUUAGAUGUGAAAGCCCCGUGCUUAACCUGGGAACUGCAUUUAAAACUGGCGAACUAGAGUUGAGUAGAGGGGAGUGGAAUUUCAGGUGUAGCGGUGAAAUGCGUAGAGAUCUGAAGGAACACCAGUGGCGAAGGCGACUCCCUGGACUCGAACUGACGCUGAGGUACGAAAGCGUGGGUAGCAAACGGGAUUAGAAACCCUAGUAGUCC